This 2203-nucleotide ribosomal RNA is filed under the name human gut metagenome. RNAcentral describes it as "bacterial LSU rRNA". It matches the Rfam family "Bacterial large subunit ribosomal RNA", at positions 333 to 2523 of the family's 2925-position model. The record is from RNAcentral.
UGGAACGGUCUGGAAAGUCCGACGGUACAGGGUGAUAGUCCCGUACACCAAAAUGCACAGGUUGUGAACUCGAAGAGUAGGGCGGGACACGUGGUAUCCUGUCUGAAUAUGGGGGGACCAUCCUCCAAGGCUAAAUACUCCUGACUGACCGAUAGUGAACCAGUACCGUGAGGGAAAGGCGAAAAGAACCCCGGCGAGGGGAGUGAAAAAGAACCUGAAACCGUGUACGUACAAGCAGUGGGAGCACCUUUAUGGUGUGACUGCGUACCUUUUGUAUAAUGGGUCAGCGACUUAUAUUCUGUAGCAAGGUUAACCGUAUAGGGGAGCCGCAGGGAAACCGAGUCUUAACUGGGCGUUAAGUUGCAGGGUAUAGACCCGAAACCCGGUGAUCUAGCCAUGGGCAGGUUGAAGGUUGGGUAACACUAACUGGAGGACCGAACCGACUAAUGUUGAAAAAUUAGCGGAUGACUUGUGGCUGGGGGUGAAAGGCCAAUCAAACCGGGAGAUAGCUGGUUCUCCCCGAAAGCUAUUUAGGUAGCGCCUCGUGAAUUCAUCUUCGGGGGUAGAGCACUGUUUCGGCUAGGGGGUCAUCCCGACUUACCAACCCGAUGCAAACUACGAAUACCGAAGAAUGUUAUCACGGGAGACACACGGCGGGUGCUAACGUCCGUCGUGAAGAGGGAAACAACCCAGACCGCCAGCUAAGGUCCCAAAGUCACAGUUAAGUGGGAAACGAUGUGGGAAGGCACAGACAGCCAGGAUGUUGGCUUAGAAGCAGCCAUCAUUUAAAGAAAGCGUAAUAGCUCACUGGUCGAGUCGGCCUGCGCGGAAGAUGUAACGGGGCUAAACUGUGCACCGAAGCUGCGGCAGCGACACUAUGUGUUGUUGGGUAGGGGAGCGUUCUGUAAGCCUGCGAAGGUGGCCUGUGAGGGUUGCUGGAGGUAUCAGAAGUGCGAAUGCUGACAUAAGUAACGAUAAUGCGGGUGAAAAGCCCGCACGCCGGAAGACCAAGGGUUCCUGUCCAACGUUAAUCGGGGCAGGGUGAGUCGACCCCUAAGGCGAGGCCGAAAGGCGUAGUCGAUGGGAAACAGGUUAAUAUUCCUGUACUUGGUGUUACUGCGAAGGGGGGACGGAGAAGGCUAUGUUAGCCGGGCGACGGUUGUCCCGGUUUAAGCAUGUAGGCGGAGGUUCCAGGUAAAUCCGGUACCUUUUAACGCUGAGGUGUGAUGACGAGGCACUACGGUGCUGAAGUAACAAAUGCCCUGCUUCCAGGAAAAGCCUCUAAGCAUCAGGUAACAUUGAAUCGUACCCCAAACCGACACAGGUGGUCAGGUAGAGAAUACCAAGGCGCUUGAGAGAACUCGGGUGAAGGAACUAGGCAAAAUGGUGCCGUAACUUCGGGAGAAGGCACGCUGAUAUGUAGGUGAAGUCCCUGCGGAUGGAGCUGAAAUCAGUCGAAGAUACCAGCUGGCUGCAACUGUUUAUUAAAAACACAGCACUGUGCAAACACGAAAGUGGACGUAUACGGUGUGACGCCUGCCCGGUGCCGGAAGGUUAAUUGAUGGGGUUAUCCGUAAGGAGAAGCUCUUGAUCGAAGCCCCGGUAAACGGCGGCCGUAACUAUAACGGUCCUAAGGUAGCGAAAUUCCUUGUCGGGUAAGUUCCGACCUGCACGAAUGGCGUAAUGAUGGCCAGGCUGUCUCCACCCGAGACUCAGUGAAAUUGAACUCGCUGUGAAGAUGCAGUGUACCCGCGGCAAGACGGAAAGACCCCGUGAACCUUUACUAUAGCUUGACACUGAACAUUGAGCCUUGAUGUGUAGGAUAGGUGGGAGGCUUUGAAGCGUGGACGCCAGUCUGCGUGGAGCCAACCUUGAAAUACCACCCUUUAAUGUUUGAUGUUCUAACGUUGGCCCCUGACCGGGGUUGCGGACAGUGUCUGGUGGGUAGUUUGACUGGGGCGGUCUCCUCCCAAAGAGUAACGGAGGAGCACGAAGGUUAGCUAAUCCUGGUCGGACAUCAGGAGGUUAGUGCAAUGGCAUAAGCUAGCUUGACUGCGAGCGUGACGGCGCGAGCAGGUGCGAAAGCAGGUCAUAGUGAUCCGGUGGUUCUGAAUGGAAGGGCCAUCGCUCAACGGAUAAAAGGUACUCCGGGGAUAACAGGCUGAUACCGCCCAAGAGUUCAUAUCGACGGCGGUGUUUGGCA